CUGGAACUUUUGCUUUUUAUUUUGUUUCUUCUAUAUUCCAGAUACCAACAAGAAAAGGAAAAGCAUACAUUUGGUUGGGAUAUUGUGAAUUUGAAAUUUGUAUUGCAGCCAAACUUGCUAAGAUUGCAAUUGGCAAACAUUUAGGACAAGAAAAAUUAAAGUUCAGAUGCUGACUUAUGCAAAAGACAGGUUGCAGCAUCAUGUACAGGAUGUCAGAAGAGCAGAAGCUUCAGAUUGUUGUACUUUUUUUUUUCUUCUUUGUUAAAGAGAUUGUUGAACUUCAGGCAAAAGGAAGAUUGGAAUUAGCUUCCUAGUCCUACCAUGGUCCUCCAUAGGAUAUGCAGGGCCUGUAAAAGUUUCUGUGGGCCGUGAAUUGAAGAAUGUUGGGUUUGUGAAGGCAACGCCGGUAUGUAAGCCUGAUGAAAGGAGCUUGGGAUGCCUAGCAUAGACCUGCAGAAAAAUGGUGCAGCACAGGCUGGGAAGAGCAGGAUGUUUGAUAUGGUUGUUCUAUAUGACUGCAGGGUAUAAAGGCCUAUUAUGGAAUGUCCAUCCAAAAAAUGGCCAACCACGUUGAUGAUAGGUAAGUGUGUUUUGGUGCUUAUUUACCCAUAGAUGACUUCAAUGCAAAAACCUCUAAACACAUGGGAUAAAGAUAGAUAGAUAAAUAUGUAAAUCUUUUUCAAAUUAUUGUACUUCAUGAAGACAUACAAAGGUAAGGUCUGGACCUUAAUAACUUUUGUCUAAAAUGUGGACCUUAAGAACUUUUGAACGAAAAUUCUGAUCUCAAACUAUCAGACUUCAUGGCAACAACAGACUUCAGAGAUGAGCCAAAAAGCGUUUCUUGCAGGUUUCAACAUCUCCUUUGGAUCUCGCCGGGUUUGAUCGUAGGCCUCAAUUUUGUUCAUCUCCUCAAUCCAAGCAGCCAGAUUAGGUCGGCCUUCAGUGAUAUCAUAUUUCCUUAGGUCCAACAAGGCAGGCUGAAAUCUUUCAAUGAAUGGAGCAUACACGAUAUCCACCUAUAGCAAACGUAGCAAAAAUUCUAACUUUGUUAGUUUCAAUGUAAGUAAUAGAAUAGAUCCCAGGGUAAAAAAUGUUAUAAUCUCUCUGCCAAAUUAUAUUUUGUUAUCCAAUCUCUGGUUAAAAUAAAAAAUCAAGGUAGAAAUUGGUGGUGAUUAGAUUUCCACGCCACAUGUAUAAGAAUCUUUUAUCCUUACCAAACUGAACUGGCCAAGGAAAAAGGGUCCAUCAUCAUAUUUGGAAAGAGAUGUUUCAAUGAAAUCAAGUGCAGUACCGGCUUCAUUUGCAUCUUCUUUGAACAAGGAAACUAGAGCUUUGUUGAACGAGUCAGUGUAGGCAAACAACUCUUCUGCUAACUCUUUCUUUGCAGGAUCAUCAGGGAAAAGUGAUGGCCCAUCAAAGUUACUGUCAAUGUAUUUAAUCAAAUCAAGAGACUCUCCUUUGACUUCAUUAUCAUGUUCCAUUGAAGGUACCUUGUUAGGAGGGUAGACUUUCUCCUUGUACCAGGUGGGCCUAUUUUGCAGAUCAAUAGGAACCAAUUUGAUCUUGUCCUGCAAUCCCUGCUCUCCCAGAAAAAGAGUUCAGCAUAAAAUAAAAUAGACCGAAAGAAAAACAUUAACUUUGAGAUUGUUAUCUGUCUUAGAUCAGAUACACUUAACUUAGGAACAUGAAUUCCCCCUCAACCAUUUGGCUGAGAUAAGCCUCACAAUUAUAGAAAGAACUAUAUCUGCUCUUCAAAUGAUAUUGUAUAUACACUAUAAAGACUAAACUAACUAAAACCCAAGUCAUGAAAAGUUGGAGAAACAACCUUACAGUUGCGAGUAAUCCACACACGCUGAGCAUAUGGGCAUGAAUACGAUAUGUACAACCUUAAACAUUCAGCCAAUGGUAAGAUAAUUUACUAUAUGAGUCCAUAAAGACGCUUUAAAUCGAAUAAUUACAAUGCAUAUAUCUCACAACGAUAUCACUUAACAUAUUAUCACGGCAUAGUAAUAAAUUUACAAGCAAAUAAAGCAAAACUGGGCCGUACCUUGUUGUUCCAUCAAAGAUAGGAGGUGGGUCUGAAGUAGAAGUUAGAGCAGGCGAAAGAACCUCUUUCCAACUUCCUGUAGCCAUAGAAGCCGAUAAAGAUGCAGAUGCAGCUCUUACGUUCCUGAGAAGGGAAGCAAAUUGAUGAAACUGAAGCGAACGAGAGUGUAAUUUGAUGGGAUUGUUAGCUUUUGCGAAUCUAGCGGAAUUCUUGGGAAGAAAAGGGAAAGAGAAAUGGAUAGAAAGAUCCCUUGCAUACAUCAGUGGUGAUGAAACAUUGAAGUAGAUAACUGUCUAUGCGGCCAUUUCUGGUUGGAUUCAUGCAC
RNAcentral lists this unclassified non-coding RNA (2372 nucleotides) under Hevea brasiliensis (rubber tree). The record is from RNAcentral. Lineage: Eukaryota; Viridiplantae; Streptophyta; Magnoliopsida; Malpighiales; Euphorbiaceae.